Molecule: non-coding RNA, 93 nt
Organism: Mycena leptocephala
Lineage: Eukaryota; Fungi; Basidiomycota; Agaricomycetes; Agaricales; Mycenaceae
Source: the annotation of a GenBank genome assembly
UCGGACAUGGUGUAUGGUACACGGCCUCCCCACAUAGAAGGGGACUGACCAGAUUGUCGGAGGCAAACCGGGGUUCGACUCCCCGUGUCCGAA